This 501-nucleotide ribosomal RNA is filed under the name Eulaema peruviana. RNAcentral's name for it is "partial 16S ribosomal RNA". The stretch from base 363 to 501 matches the Rfam family "Bacterial large subunit ribosomal RNA", at positions 2473 to 2612 of the family's 2925-position model. The record is from RNAcentral. Lineage: Eukaryota; Metazoa; Arthropoda; Insecta; Hymenoptera; Apidae.
GUCAAUCUGUUCACUGAAAAUUUUUAAAUAGCUGCAGUAUGUUGACUGUACUAAGGUAGCAUAAUAAAUUGUCUUUUAAUUGAAGAAUAGAAUGAAAGAUUUAAUGAGAUAUAUACUGUCUCUGAUAUAUUUAAUAAAAUUAAAUUUUAAGUUAAAAUGCUAAAAUUAAAUUAUGGGACGAUAAGACCCUAUAGAAUUUUAUAUUAUUAAUAAAUUAAUAAUAAUUUUGUUUUUAUUUUAUUAAUAAUAUUUGAUUGGGAUGAUUAAUAAAUUUAAUUAACUUUAUUAAAUUUUAAACUUUGAUUUAAGAAAAUUUAAAAUUGAUGUAUUUAAUAAUAAUUAAUAAAAUAAAUUACCUUAGGGAUAACAGCGUAAUAUCUUUUAUAAGAACUUAUUAAUAAAGAUGUUUGCGACCUCGAUGUUGAAUUAAGAUAAAUUUUAAAUGUAGAAAUUUAAAAAUUAAGUCUGUUCGACUUUUAAAAUCUUACAUGAUUGGACUUG